This is an RNA transcript of Cyanidioschyzon merolae strain 10D, 1141 nucleotides long. RefSeq lists it as hypothetical. NCBI's taxonomy places the organism in Eukaryota, Rhodophyta, Bangiophyceae, Cyanidiales, Cyanidiaceae. The record is from RefSeq and is a predicted model, not a curated record. The transcript has a single exon.
GCGCUUCAUGAGUAGAACCGUGAGCAGUGUCGAACUUUUGGUUUCCACCGCCAUCGAGGGAGUGUUUCGGGUGUAAGGCCGGGGUUUCUUCGACGCGACUGACCGAACAAGUUGCCGAACUUUGCGCUGGAGUACCCGUACUAGGCGAGGAUGGGGCGGUGCACGGUUGCAAAGAGCCGACCUCGCCCCGAGCUGCCCUGCACGCUUCAGCCAUAACGUGCGCCGUUCCGUUGCGCGCCUAUGCACUUUGCGCUUCGAUACCAAGUCCAGGGGAAUCGCAAGCCUUCUCAGCAGCUCGACGCCACGUUUGAUCCCUUUUUGGCAGGUUUCCUUCGCACAGGUUCCAGAAGAUGCCUCACUGACGCUGGAGUACGCCCCAGUACUGGGUCCGAUCCCGGUGCGGUGGUGCACACACGAGCGGCGCCUUCAGUAAGGAGCCGCUAGCGACUGAAAACAGCCGCCAACAACGAUCGCGGUAACCUGUGUAAACCCUGCUGUAGUUUUCCACUCUGGACACCGUUUCCGCAAUACACGUCUUGUCCCUACCUAACAAGUUUAGGCUCUCAGAAUGGGGGCACGCUCGUGGCCCAGGGAGAUGUCAUGUUCGUCACGGCUGUGGCGUGAAUGCUGCGCGGGAGGCGCGAUGGCAUUGCCCUGCCGCCCUGCAGAGGCGCUUACGCUACUGUUGGCGGGCUCCGGCAACCACAUCGACGACACUUGCUAACUGUUGGCUAGUUCGAGAGUCAUGCCUGCAUUCACGAUAAAGUGCAACGUUGAACUUUCAAAGGAGAAAGCUACAGCGCUGUGUAAGGAGGCGAGCAAGGUCAUGGCUGACAUUUUGGGGAAACCCGAGUCGUUCGUGACUGUGACUUACGAGGUGCCGCUAGCCAUGACCUGGGACGGUAACGAGGAACCGGCUGCCGUUUGCAUGCUACUUUCUCUUGGAACCUCUAGCCCGGAACAUAACGUCAAGGUAUCCGCCAAAGUUGCAGAACUUUUGCGUAAACACUGCGGGGUGCAGCCGAGUCGCUACUAUGUGGAGUUCGUGGACCCUCCGCGGAGCGACCUAGGUUGGAAUGGACGCACUUUUGCGUAACAAACACAGCAAAACACUUUUAGACGAAAUAUCUGGGAGGUAAAG